AUACGGAGGGAGCGAGCGUUAAUCGGAAUUACUGGGCGUAAAGCGCGCGUAGGCGGCUUUGUAAGUCGGAUGUGAAAGCCCUGGGCUUAACCUGGGAAUGGCAUUCGAUACUGCAUAACUAGAGUAUGGUAGAGGGAAGUGGAAUUUCCGGUGUAGCGGUGAAAUGCGUAGAUAUCGGAAGGAAUACCGGUGGCGAAGGCGGCCUCCUGCACCAAUACUGACGCUGAGGUGCGAAAGCGUGGGGAGCAAACAGGAUUAGAAACCCCGGUAGUCC
RNAcentral lists this ribosomal RNA (274 nucleotides) under uncultured bacterium. RNAcentral describes it as "partial 16S ribosomal RNA". It matches the Rfam family "Bacterial small subunit ribosomal RNA", at positions 523 to 796 of the family's 1533-position model. The record is from RNAcentral.